AGAGUUUGAUUCUGGCUCAGAACGAACGCUGGCAGCGUGGAUUAGGCAUGCAAGUCGAGCGAGAAUCCUUCGCUUCAAUCUUUCGGGAGAGAGGCGUUGGAGGAAAGCGGCGAAAGGGUGAGUAACGCGUGGGUAACCUGCCCCUGAGUUCGGGAUAACACCGCGAAAGCGAUGCUAAUACCGGAUGCGGUGCCCAAUCGAAUGGUUGGAACACUAAAGGUGGGGAUCCUUCGGGACCUGCCGCUUGGGGAGGGGCCCGCGUCCUAUCAGCUUGUUGGUGAGGUAACGGCUCACCAAGGCUUACGGGUAGCUGGUCUGAGAGGACGGUCAGCCACACUGGGACUGAGACACUGCCCAGACUCCUACGGGAGGCUGCAGUCGAGAAUCAUUCGCAAUGCGCGAAAGCGUGACGAUGCGACGCUGCGUGGAGGAUGACGGCCUUCGGGUUGUAAACUCCUGUCAUCCGGGAGCAACUGCGUUGGUGCUAACACCAUCGACGCCUGAUAGUGCCGGAAGAGGAAGCCACGGCUAACUCUGUGCCAGCAGCCGCGGUAAUACAGAGGUGGCGAGCGUUGUUCGGAUUUACUGGGCGUAAAGCGUGCGUAGGUGGUUGUCCGUGUCGGAUGUGAAAGCUCCCCGCUCACCGGGGAAAGUGCAUUCGAAACUGGAUGACUAGAGUGCGGGAGAGGAAGGCGGAAUUCUUGGUGUAGCGGUGGAAUGCCUUGAUAUCAAGAAGAACACCGGUGGCGAAGGCGGCCUUCUGGAACGUAACUGACACUGAGGCACGAAAGUUGGGGGAGCAAACAGGAUUAGAUACCCUGGUAGUCCCAACCGUAAACGGUGUGCACUUGGUGUGGGGAGAUUUGAUCCUCUCCGUGCCGUAGCUAACGCGUUAAGUGCACCGCCUGGGGAGUACGGCCGCAAGGCUAAAACUCAAAGAAAUUGACGGGGGCCCGCACAAGCGGAGGAGCAUGUGGCUUAAUUCGAUACAACGCGAAGAACCUUAUCCAAGGCUUGACAUGCAGCUGCAAGCCCCUGAAAGGGGGUCGCCUUCGAGGGUGCUGCACAGGUGCUGCAUGGCUGUCGUCAGUUCGUGCCGUGAGGUGUUGGGUUAAGUCCCGCAACGAACGCAACCCUUGUGUCUAGUUGCCACCGUGGGUGAUGAGCCCACGAGCACUUUAGACAGACUGCCCGUGCAAGCGGGAGGAAGGUGAGGAUGACGUCAAGUCCGUAUGGCCUUUAUGCCUUGGGCUGCACACGUGCUACAAUGGUCGGUACAAUGGGAAGCAAGACCGCGAGGUGGAGCAAAUCCCCAAAGCCGGCCCCAGUUCGGAUUGGAGUCUGCAACUCGACUCCAUGAAGUCGGAUUCGCUAGUAAUGGCGCAUCAGCUACGGCGCCGUGAAUACGUUCCCGGGCCUUGUACACACCGCCCGUCACAUCAUGAAAGCUCUCUGUACCCGAAGUCGCUGGUCCAACCUUGGUUUUAUCAAGGGGGAAGGCGCCGAAGGUGUGGGGAGUGAUUGGGAUGAAGUCGAACAAGG
RNAcentral lists this ribosomal RNA (1542 nucleotides) under metagenome. Its description in RNAcentral is "bacterial SSU rRNA". It matches the Rfam family "Bacterial small subunit ribosomal RNA". The record is from RNAcentral.